GAUGAAGAACGUAGCGAAAUGCGAUAAGUAAUGUGAAUUGCAGAAUCCAGUGAAUCAUCGAAUCUUUGAACGCACAUUGCGCCCGCCAGCAUUCUGGCGGGCAUGCCUGUUCGAGCGUCAUUUCAACCCUCGACCUCCCCUUGGGGAGGUCGGCGUUGGGGACCGGCAGCACACCGCCGGCCCUGAAAUGGAGUGGCGGCCCGUCUGCGGCGACCUCUGUGUAGUAAUACAGCUCGCACCGGAACCCCGACGCGGCCACGCCGUAAAACACCCAACUUCUGAACGUUGACCUCGAAUCAGGUAGGACUACCCGCUGAACUUAAGCAUAUCAAUAAGCGGAGGA
This 343-nucleotide unclassified non-coding RNA is filed under the name soil metagenome. Its description in RNAcentral is "partial contains 5.8S ribosomal RNA, internal transcribed spacer 2, and large subunit ribosomal RNA". The stretch from base 1 to 120 matches the Rfam family "5.8S ribosomal RNA", at positions 35 to 154 of the family's 154-position model. The record is from RNAcentral.